Non-coding RNA from Oryctolagus cuniculus (rabbit), 1680 nucleotides. The record is from RefSeq and is a predicted model, not a curated record. NCBI's taxonomy places the organism in Eukaryota, Metazoa, Chordata, Mammalia, Lagomorpha, Leporidae.
CACUGCCUUCUCCCAGUCCCUUUCCGCCCCUUUCUGGGCGCGGUUUCUGGAAAGCCGGUGCAUACCCUGCCGCGGACCCGCCCGGCGGGCGGUGUCCAGGGCGGGUUCCGAGUUCCAGCCUCGGGACGAGAGGGGAGGAGGCGCGGGCCUGGCCCAGUUGGCACGCGGGGUAGCCCUUCUUAGCUUCUCAGCCUUCACUCCAAGUGCUGGCUGGCUCUGCCCGCGGAAACUCGCUGGGUGCCAGCGGCAUUCCCGAGUGUGCCUCUGGCUUCCUCCAGGAGUCGGGGCGCCAGGCGCCUCAGAGCCCACCCUCCUCCCGGUUCACGCAAGGAUUCACCGCCCUGAGGACUCUCCUAAGAACCAUUCCCGCACCAAAGGGGAACGGAGGUAUGUUAGAUCCUAGCAUACUGGAGAAAGCUUUGACUGAAUUCUUGGACAAGAUACCAGACCUUGAUCCUUCCAUCUGAAAGUGGAUGUACUAAGGAUUGCUUUGGGGCCAGCACUGUGGCACAGCGGGUUAAUGCCCUGGCCUGAAGCACCAGCAUCCCAUGUGGGCACCAGUUCAAGCCCUGGCUGCUUCACUUCCUAUCCAGCUCUCUGCUAUGACCUGGGAAAGCAGUAGAAGAUGACCCAAGUCCUUGGGCCCCUGCACCCAUGUGGGAGACCCAGAGGAAGCUCCUGGCUCCUGGCUUCAGAUCAGCACAGCUCCAGCCAUUGAGGCCAUCUGGGGAGUGAACCAGUGAACCAUCGGAUGGAAGACUUCUCUCUCUUUCUCUCUCUGCCUCUUCUCUCUCUGUGUAACUCUGACUUUCAAGUAAAAUAAAUAAAUCGUUUUAGAAAACCAUAUGUUCUCCCUGAUUGGUGACAACUAACCAAACAUCAAAUAGGAAAACUGGUGAAGUGAAAUGGACACUAGCAGAAACAAUGACUUGAUCAGCCCUUGUCCUGACUGUUGAUGUACAAUUUAAUACUUUAUCCCUUUUAGUAUUUUUUGUUUGUUUGUUCUACUUAAUACUUUUGGUUGAAUACUGUAAUCAAUACACAGUUAUUCUUAGGUGUUUAAAGUUAACUGAAAAAGUGAUCUCUGUUAAAUAUAAGAGUGGAAAUAAGAAAGGGAGGGGAUGUAUAAUUUGGGACAUUCUCAAGCUGACUUGCCCCAAGUGGUGGAGUUAGAAAUGUGCCAGGCGAUUCCAAUACAAUCCCAUCAAGGUGGCAUGUACGAAUGCCAUCUCACUAGUCCAAGUGAUCAAUUUCAGGUCACAAUAGACCAUAAUGAUAGGUCUAAGAGUCAAAGGGAUCACAUAAACAAGACUAGUGUCUGAUAAUACUAACUGAUAGAAUCAAAAAGGGAGAGAACGAUCCAACAUGGGAAGCAGGAUACACAGCAGACUCAUAGAAUAGCAAUUGUCCUAAACAGCACUCUGGACUCAGAAUCAUCCCUUAAGGCAUUCAGAUCUGGCUGAAGAGCCCAUGAGAGUAUUUUAGGCAUGGAAAGCCAAGAUACUCUGGGAAAAAAAAAAAAAAAAAGAGGACCUAAAUGAAAGAUCUCUGUGAGUGAGAUCCCAGUGGAAAGAAUGGGCCAUCAGAGAAGGAGGUACCUUUCUCUGAAGGGAGGAGAGAACUUUCACUUUGACUAUGGCCUUGUCAAAAUAAGAUCAAAGACGGCAAGCUCAGGGGGCU